UUUAGGCUUUCAACGGGGAAAAAAUCGGACUAGAAAAAAAAGGUCAAAGUAUAUCUAUUUCGUAUUUAUCCGAUUCUCUUUUCAUUCCGGAGCAGAAAGUUUCUACUCCAAAUCGAUGGCAAUCGAUAUACUGCCUACGUAUAUGGACUUGUAUCUCUUAUCAAAUGAAUCCUAUGGCGAUCUACCAAAAAAAGAAAAUUCAUUCCAUCCGACGUCGUUUUUUAUUAAAUCUACCAGAGUGGACUCUUAUCGAUUCGGCAUUCUCAGGUUGACCCGAUGGGAGACGGAUUAAAAGUCCUGCACGGGCUUCGUUACGAAUUCCGGCUGUCCUUAUUCUAUACGCAUUUGUUGGCCGAAUAAGACAUCGUGGACAUCGUUCGAAAAGUAC
Daphnia pulex (common water flea) is the source of this 388-nucleotide long non-coding RNA. RefSeq lists it as uncharacterized. The transcript has 3 exons. The record is from RefSeq and is a predicted model, not a curated record. Lineage: Eukaryota; Metazoa; Arthropoda; Branchiopoda; Diplostraca; Daphniidae.